AGUGAACGCUGGCGGUAGGCCUAACACAUGCAAGUCGAACGGCAGCACAGUAAGAGCUUGCUCUUACGGGUGGCGAGUGGCGGACGGGUGAGGAAUACAUCGGAAUCUACUUUUUCGUGGGGGAUAACGUAGGGAAACUUACGCUAAUACCGCAUACGACCUACGGGUGAAAGCAGGGGAUCUUCGGACCUUGCGCGAUUGAAUGAGCCGAUGUCGGAUUAGCUAGUUGGCGGGGUAAAGGCCCACCAAGGCGACGAUCCGUAGCUGGUCUGAGAGGAUGAUCAGCCACACUGGAACUGAGACACGGUCCAGUCUCCUACGGGAGGCAGCAGUGGGGAAUAUUGGACAAUGGGCGCAAGCCUGAUCCAGCCAUACUGCGUGGGUGAAGAAGGCCUUCGGGUUGUAAAGCCCUUUUGUUGGGAAAGAAAAGCAGCAGGUUAAUACCCCGCUGUUCUGACGGUACCCAAAGAAUAAGCACCGGCUAACUUCGUG
Molecule: ribosomal RNA, 492 nt
Filed under: uncultured bacterium
Lineage: Bacteria
Description: partial 16S ribosomal RNA
Rfam family: Bacterial small subunit ribosomal RNA
Source: RNAcentral